RNAcentral lists this ribosomal RNA (460 nucleotides) under uncultured bacterium. RNAcentral describes it as "partial 16S ribosomal RNA". It matches the Rfam family "Bacterial small subunit ribosomal RNA", at positions 338 to 795 of the family's 1533-position model. The record is from RNAcentral.
CCUACGGGAGGCAGCAGUGAGGAAUAUUGGUCAAUGGACGAGAGUCUGAACCAGCCAAGUAGCGUGAAGGAUGACUGCCCUAUGGGUUGUAAACUUCUUUUAUAUGGGAAUAAAAUGUUCCACGUGUGGGAUUUUGUAUGUACCAUAUGAAUAAGGAUCGGCUCACUCCGUGCCAGCAGCCGCGGUAAUACGGAGGAUCCGAGCGUUAUCCGGAUUUAUUGGGUUUAACGGGAGCGUAGGUGGAUUGUUAAGUCAGUUGUGAAAGUUGGCGGCGCAACCGUAAAAUUGCAGUUGAAACUGGCAGUCUUGAGUACAGUAGAGGUGGGCGGAAUUCGUGGUGUAGCGGUGAAAUGCUUAGAUAUCACGAAGAACUCCGAUUGCGAAGGCAGUUCACUGGACUGCAACUGACACUGAGGCUCGAAAGUGUGGGUAUCAAACAGGAUUAGAUACCCUGGUAGUC